Molecule: non-coding RNA, 131 nt
Filed under: Chinchilla lanigera (long-tailed chinchilla)
Lineage: Eukaryota; Metazoa; Chordata; Mammalia; Rodentia; Chinchillidae
Source: RNAcentral
AUGUUGUAUGAAAGGAGAGAAGGUUAGCACUCCCCUUGACAAGGAUGAAAGAGGCCCUUGGGCCUGACAACACCCAUACUCUUAAGGCAUUGCCACCUACUUCCUUAGGAAUCAACAAAACCAGUAUUUCU